GUUUUAAUGUUCCAGUCUUCUCAUAUCCACACCUUUGCUUCCUUUACAGUGAACUGCACUAGCAGCAGCAGCAGCAACAGCAACAACAACAACAACAGCAGGGCAGCAGCAGCAA
This 115-nucleotide microRNA precursor is filed under the name Mus caroli (Ryukyu mouse). RNAcentral's name for it is "miRNA (MGP_CAROLIEiJ_G0008206.1)". The record is from RNAcentral. Lineage: Eukaryota; Metazoa; Chordata; Mammalia; Rodentia; Muridae.